Molecule: ribosomal RNA, 619 nt
Filed under: uncultured bacterium
Lineage: Bacteria
Description: bacterial SSU rRNA
Rfam family: Bacterial small subunit ribosomal RNA
Source: RNAcentral
CCUACGGGAGGCAGCAGUGGGGAAUAUUGGACAAUGGGCGAAAGCCUGAUCCAGCAAUUCCGCGUGUGUGAAGAAGGCCUUCGGGUUGUAAAGCACUUUAGUUGGGGAAGAAACAGUUUGGCCACACCAAGCCUUGACGGUACCCAAAGAAUAAGCACCGGCUAACUCUGUGCCAGCAGCCGCGGUAAUACAGAGGGUGCAAGCGUUAAUCGGAUUUACUGGGCGUAAAGGGUGCGUAGGUGGUUUUGUAAGUCGGAUGUGAAAGCCUGGGGCUCAACCUCAGAAUUGCACUCGAUACUGCAAGACUAGAGUUCGGUAGAGGGCGGCGGAAUUCCCGGUGUAGCGGUGAAAUGCGUAGAUAUCGGGAGGAACAUCAAUGGCGAAGGCAGCCGCCUGGGCCUGAACUGACACUGAGGCACGAAAGCGUGGGUAGCAAACAGGAUUAGAUACCCUGGUAGUCCACGCUGUAAACGAUGAGAACUUGACGUUGGUUCGUUUUACGAAUCGGUGUCGCAGCUAACGCGAUAAGUUCUCCGCCUGGGGAGUACGGCCGCAAGGUUGAAACUCAAAGUUAGUUAGUAGCGUUGNGAGNGCGACGACGACGACGACGGAGGAGGAG